Molecule: unclassified non-coding RNA, 137 nt
Filed under: soil metagenome
Description: partial internal transcribed spacer 1
Source: RNAcentral
AAGAGUUGCAAAACUCCCACAAACCAUCGCGAACGUUACCCAGACGUCGUUGCUUCGGCGGGCUCGCCCGCCGGGGGGACGCCACCAGACUCUUGCAGUUAUUUGGCCUCUCUGAGUAUGAUUUUUUAAAUAAGUCA